GUCAGGAUGGCCGAGUGGUCUAAGGCGCCAGACUCAAGGUGUUUACCUUCCCUGCGGGCGUUCUGGUCUCUGAAUAGAGGCGUGGGUUCGAAUCCCACUUCUGACA
Non-coding RNA from Ailuropoda melanoleuca (giant panda), 106 nucleotides. The record is from Rfam. Lineage: Eukaryota; Metazoa; Chordata; Mammalia; Carnivora; Ursidae.